This 89-nucleotide transfer RNA is filed under the name Lachnospiraceae bacterium. Its description in RNAcentral is "tRNA-Ser". It matches the Rfam family "tRNA". Rfam says of the family: Transfer RNA (tRNA) molecules are approximately 80 nucleotides in length. Their secondary structure includes four short double-helical elements and three loops (D, anti-codon, and T loops). The record is from RNAcentral. RNAcentral also lists the same sequence under 1 other name. Lineage: Bacteria; Bacillati; Bacillota; Clostridia; Lachnospirales; Lachnospiraceae.
GGAGAAAUACCCAAGAGGCUGAAGGGGCUCCCCUGGAAAGGGAGUAGAGCGUUAAUAGCGCUGCAUGGGUUCAAAUCCCAUUUUCUCCG